This is a non-coding RNA of Danio rerio (zebrafish), 72 nucleotides long. The record is from Rfam. Lineage: Eukaryota; Metazoa; Chordata; Actinopteri; Cypriniformes; Danionidae.
GGCUCAUUGGUCUAGGGGUGUGAUUCUCGCUUCUGGUGUGAGAGGACCCAGGUUCAAUUCUCAGAUGAGCCC